ACAUACUUCCUUUUGCAAGGCUGCACC
This 27-nucleotide non-coding RNA is filed under the name Mus musculus (house mouse). The record is from RNAcentral. Lineage: Eukaryota; Metazoa; Chordata; Mammalia; Rodentia; Muridae.